RNAcentral lists this ribosomal RNA (429 nucleotides) under Gemmatimonadota bacterium. RNAcentral's name for it is "Gemmatimonadetes bacterium partial 16S ribosomal RNA". It matches the Rfam family "Bacterial small subunit ribosomal RNA", at positions 355 to 776 of the family's 1533-position model. Lineage: Bacteria; Pseudomonadati; Gemmatimonadota. The record is from RNAcentral.
UAGGGAAUCUUCGGCCAUGGACGAAAGUCUGACCGAGCAACGCCGCGUGAGUGAAGAAGGUUUUCGGAUCGUAAAACUCUGUUGUUAGAGAAGAACAAGGACGUUAGUAACUGAACGUCCCCUGACGGUAUCUAACCAGAAAGCCACGGCUAACUACGUGCCAGCAGCCGCGGUAAUACGUAGGUGGCAAGCGUUGUCCGGAUUUAUUGGGCGUAAAGCGAGCGCAGGCGGUUUCUUAAGUCUGAUGUGAAAGCCCCCGGCUCAACCGGGGAGGGUCAUUGGAAACUGGGAGACUUGAGUGCAGAAGAGGAGGGUGGAAUUCCAUGUGUAGCGGUGAAAUGCGUAGAUAUAUGGAGGAACACCAGUGGCGAAGGCGGCUCUCUGGUCUGUAACUGACGCUGAGGCUCGAAAGCGUGGGGAGCAAACAGG